CACGCGCAGGGUCGUGGGGUACCGCCGGGGGAUCCCUGGCUGCUGCGGAGCCGGCUCGGGCUGCUUCCUAACUCCACCGUCUGCCCCUUUCGCUCUGCGCCGGCUGGAGCGUGGGGUCGCAGCGGCGAAAGCGACUGAAGUCCCGGCGCAGCCGCGAACUUCCACACUGUUUUCCAAAGCAGCGGCACCAUUUCCUAUUCCCACUGUUUGUAUGCUAGUGCCUCUUUUAAGUAUUCAGACUGUCAAAUCUGUCACCUUUUUUGGGGGAACACAUGUAAGGAUGGAGAGUCUCCCCCCACCCCACUGGAGGUAACAAAGGAUCAAGGUGCUCUCUCUGAAAUUCUAGCUGCAGAAUUUAAACUGAUGCUGCUGCUGCUGGCAUUUCCCUUGGGAUUUUACUGCUUUAUUAGAAUGUAUCAGUGUUCCCAACUUCAGAUUACUAGAUUGCAUUUCUCAUCCUGCAAAGCUGAAGACCAGGUCAUGAAAAAUCAGAGAAAAUCCAUCAAGUAGGGUUGGUGUCCUUAUAAGAAGAGGAAGAAACACCAGGAAUGUGCUUGCAUAGAUAAAAGGCCAUGUGAGGACACAGCGAGAAGUCGACCAUCUGCAAACCAAGGAGAAAGGCCUCACCAGAAACCGACCCUGCUGACACCUUGAUCUUGGACUUCUAGCCUACAGAACUGCUCAGCUCAAGGACCACCCCUUCCAAGAUGUCUUCCUGGAGUUCCUCAGCCAAAAGUAAUACCUCUCUUUCCUGGUCCCAGCCCAUGUGUCGCCUGUUCCCCAGAGCCUUCUUUGAGCCCUCUCUCAGCACCGUUGCAUUUUUCUUCUGAAAAUGCUCUCUGCUCUCUCUGCUUCCACCAUCUUGUAAUGUGAGACUUCUGGCUCAUUAUUACCACCAUCAGAUGUGUUCCUUGGACUUUGGACAUCCCAGCCUCCAAAACUGCAAGCCUCCCGUGAAGUCCUACUUGUAAAAGCAACUCAACUGCCAAGUAUUGAAGACUGCCAGUUUCUGCUAGGGGAGGGAUUCAGUCUCAAGUAGCAAGAUUUAUCCCGGAACUGAGGGCAAUAGGACAGUCCAUGUACACUGCAUCCAGGCGGUUUGGUGGAUUUUCUCCUUUUCUCAUGGUCUUAAAAAGAAUAUGGUCAGAGAGAACAACAAAUGCUGGCCAGGAUUCAGAGAAAAGGGAACCUCCUACACUGUUGGUGGGACUGUAAAUUGGUGCAGCCAUUAUGGAAAACAGUAUGGAGAUUCCUCAAACAACUGCAGAUAGAACUGUCAUAUGAUCCAGCAAUCCUACUACUUGGUGUGUACCCACAGGAAUGGAAAUCAUCAUGUUGAAGGCAUACCUGCACUCCCAUGUUUAUCAUAGCUCUAUUUAGAAUAGCCAAUAGUUGGAACCAACCUAAAUGUCCAUCAACAGAUGACUGGAUAAAUGUGGUUAUAUACACAAUGGAAUACUACUCAGCCAUAAAAAAGAAUGAAAUUCUGCCAUUCGCAGCAACAUGGAUGAGCUUGGAAAAAAUUAUGUUAAGAGAAAUAAGCCAGGCACAGAAAGAAAAAUACCACAUGUCUUCAUAAGUCGGAGCUAAAAAAGAAAGAAAGAUACAGCAAUCACAAUAAUUCAUUGAACUUUCAAAAGGAGACAACUGAACUGAGGUCACCAGAGGUGGGAAAGGGGGAAGGGGUAUGAGGAAGGAAUUGGUAAAUCAAUUACAUUGUAUAAUGUUGAAUAUACUAAUUAUCCUGAUUUGAGCAUCAUGUAUUGCACACAGGUAUUGACAUUCAACUCU
This is a long non-coding RNA of Cynocephalus volans (Philippine flying lemur), 1791 nucleotides long. RefSeq lists it as uncharacterized. The transcript is spliced from 10 exons. The record is from RefSeq and is a predicted model, not a curated record. Lineage: Eukaryota; Metazoa; Chordata; Mammalia; Dermoptera; Cynocephalidae.